AACGCACGAGACCUGCGGACCUGCGGAGGGAUCAUUACAAGUGACCCCGGUCUAACCACCGGGAUGUUCAUAACCCUUUGUUGUCCGACUCUGUUGCCUCCGGGGCGACCCUGCCUUCGGGCGGGGGCUCCGGGUGGACACUUCAAACUCUUGCGUAACUUUGCAGUCUGAGUAAACUUAAUUAAUAAAUUAAAACUUUUAGCAAUGGAUCUCU
RNAcentral lists this unclassified non-coding RNA (214 nucleotides) under soil metagenome. RNAcentral describes it as "partial contains 5.8S ribosomal RNA, internal transcribed spacer 2, and large subunit ribosomal RNA". The record is from RNAcentral.